GGGAGCUUGCUCCCUGAAGUCAGCGGCGGACGGGUGAGUAACACGUGGGCAACCUGCCUGUAAGACUGGGAUAACUUCGGGAAACCGGAGCUAAUACCGGAUAACACCGAGGACCUCAUGGUCCUUGGUUGAAAGAUGGCUUCGGCUAUCACUUACAGAUGGGCCCGCGGCGCAUUAGCUAGUUGGUGAGGUAACGGCUCACCAAGGCGACGAUGCGUAGCCGACCUGAGAGGGUGAUCGGCCACACUGGGACUGAGACACGGCCCAGACUCCUACGGGAGGCAGCAGUAGGGAAUCUUCCGCAAUGGACGAAAGUCUGACGGAGCAACGCCGCGUGAGCGAUGAAGGCCUUCGGGUCGUAAAGCUCUGUUGUUAGGGAAGAACAAGUACCGUUCGAAUAGGGCGGUACCUUGACGGUACCUAACCAGAAAGCCACGGCUAACUACGUGCCAGCAGCCGCGGUAAUACGUAGGUGGCAAGCGUUGUCCGGAAUUAUUGGGCGUAAAGCGCGCGCAGGCGGUUCCUUAAGUCUGAUGUGAAAGCCCACGGCUCAACCGUGGAGGGUCAUUGGAAACUGGGGAACUUGAGUGCAGAAGAGGAAAGCGGAAUUCCACGUGUAGCGGUGAAAUGCGUAGAGAUGUGGAGGAACACCAGUGGCGAAGGCGGCUUUCUGGUCUGUAACUGACGCUGAGGCGCG
Molecule: ribosomal RNA, 697 nt
Filed under: Bacillus sp. (in: firmicutes)
Lineage: Bacteria; Bacillati; Bacillota; Bacilli; Caryophanales; Bacillaceae
Description: bacterial SSU rRNA
Rfam family: Bacterial small subunit ribosomal RNA
Source: RNAcentral